GAACCUUGGGGGACGAGGGGGAGACUCCGGGGGACAGGAAAGGGUGAGCGGAGGACCGCGCUGCACUCGGCCUGGAUGGGCUCCGGGACAGAAGAGGAGAUGCGGGCGAGAAGACCGCCGGGCGGCGGACGGGAGAGCGCAGGCUCGGGGCACACUCGCGCGCAGGACGAACCCAGUUCCUGACCUCAGGGAGUUUAGAAUCCGCUGCAGAAGACGGUCUUCGGACUGCCCUGUUACCGGAACGACAGCGGUGAGGGUUUCCCCGCGGAGGCCGCGGCAGGGCGGGGCGGGGCCGAAGCCGCCCUUUCGGAUCGCGGGCGCUGGCUUGGAGGCCGGCUGUGGCCAGGCCGGGUUUCCACACCCAUCCUCUCUCCAUACGCUUCCUUUUUGCUUUUGUUUGUUUCCGUUCUUAAAGCUUAACGAUAGCGGUAACACAGUAUGCCACACUACAGAACAAUUCGGUAUCUCUCUCCAGUCCUCUGAAGACUGUUCUGGGAGUUUGUUGUUUUUGUUUCGUUUUGUUUUUUUGAGAUGGGGUCUCUCUCCUUGGCUGGCCUCAGAGUUACUAUCACCUACCUCAGGUGUACGUGGUGUAUGCUCUUAUGAACCUAUAGUUCUCUUUUAGGAGAUAGGAAACAAAGCAAAUAUACUUUUUGAAUAUGUAUUUUUAACAGGUGGUACAUUAUGUGAUUCAAAGUCCGAAAGACUGUGCAGUGAAAAGCCCCACACUCCUGUCUUGAUCCAACUAGUUCCCUUCACAGAGGCAAGCGACGUUGUCAGUGUCCCCUCUUCCUUAGCCAGUGAUAGCAUAUGAAAAUACAAGCAAAUACAUCUCUCACUAUACAGGGUGCUAUUCUAUUCACUGUGCUGUACCUUGGGGUUUUUUUUCCCCACAAUAUACCUUUAAAAUAUUCUAUACCAAUGCACGGGGUUCUGUCUUUUUUAUAGGUGUAUAGUACUUCAUAUUAUGGAAAUUGCAUUGUUUCAAAUUAUGCUAGAUUGUGAUAUAUGUUAUGAUGCGCACAGAAAAUAAGUCAGGAGAUGAAUUUUAUUUUUUACAUUUAUUUGUAGCGCUGAGGAUUGAAUCCAGGGCCUUGUGCCUACUAGGUAAAUGUGCUACCAUUGAACUACAUCCCUAGCCCAGAGCUCAAUUUUAAAAUAACAGGUAAGAAGUCGGGUGUGGUGAAGCAAGAGGAUCGAUGCAAAUUCAAGGCCAGACUGGGCUACAUAGUGAGACUUUGUUUCAAAAAAACAAAAAGUUGAACAGAGGCAGCGAGGAAAGCCGGCGAGAAGGGCUCGGUAAGAAGCGCCCGCGGCAUGGCCGCUCGGUGGCGCUGGACUCAGCCUGGAAGUGGGGCUGUGGCGCUGCGGGCGGACUGCGGGCGGGUCAGCCCUUGGGGCCGCGCAGGUCCCUCGCUGUCCCAGCCGCUUGUCGUGCGCCGCAGAGCUUAGCAGGUGUGGCCCCCACAUCACUGUUUCUCUAGGAAAGCAGGAGCUGGGAUUUGAGACUUAGAACCUGUAUCUCUGAAAUUCUGCUUACUAGAAGUUGCUAAUAAUUUUGGUUUUUUUUUUUAGACUGAGUCUCACUGUGCAGUUCAGGCUGGCCGUGAGCUCACUUUGUAGCCCAGGCUGGUCUCGAACUCGGAACGAUCCUCCUGCCUCAGCCUCUCGAGUGCUGGGAUUACAGGUGUGCGCCACCACGCCCGGCUGGAUUCAGUUUUUAAAAUGUGCUUGACA
Chinchilla lanigera (long-tailed chinchilla) is the source of this 1737-nucleotide long non-coding RNA. The record is from Ensembl. Lineage: Eukaryota; Metazoa; Chordata; Mammalia; Rodentia; Chinchillidae.